GCUCGUCAGGAAAUUAGCUGAGGUCGAACUUCCCAGACAGAACUACAAGGUUUCCUUGCAGGUAGCCUUAUUAUGCCCUUCUCCCUUACACCUGGUGCAAGUCAUUACUCUUUUAAGUUCACGCUUUCUUUUAUAUUGUUUUUCCUUUGGUUGAGUUGGUGGCCGAGGUGUAGUCGGAGGAAGCACUUGCCUCACCUCUGAGGCAUCUUCUUCACCCAAAGGCUCAAAAAUGUCUAAAACAGGAUUUAUGGACUUGGAAUAUGUUGAACGGUAGCUAUCAACUGUGUAGUAUUUUGAACAAUAAUCAUAUACACUCCUUCCAAUGCGAUUGAAGACGGCAAUGGCAUGACAGCAAGGUAAUCCAGUCAAUGCCCAUUCCAUACAACUACAGUCCCUUGUGACAAUAUCCACAACAAAAAUAGAGUCACC
Molecule: unclassified non-coding RNA, 429 nt
Filed under: Hevea brasiliensis (rubber tree)
Lineage: Eukaryota; Viridiplantae; Streptophyta; Magnoliopsida; Malpighiales; Euphorbiaceae
Source: RNAcentral